CCUACGGGUGGCAGCAGUAGGGAAUAUUGCUCAAUGGGGGAAACCCUGAACCAGCGACGCCGCGUGGAGGAUGAAGGUUUUAGGAUUGUAAACUCCUUUUGUUAGAGAAGAUUAUGACGGUAUCUAACGAAUAAGCACCGGCUAACUCCGUGCCAGCAGCCGCGGGAAUACGGCGGGUGCAAGCGUUACUCGGAAUCACUGGGCGUAAAGAGUGCGUAGGCGGGGUAAUAAGUCAGAUGUGAAAUCCUGUAGCUUAACUACAGAACUGCAUUUGAAACUGUUACUCUGGAGUGUGGGAGAGGUAGGUGGAAUUCUUGGUGUAGGGGUAAAAUGCGUAGAGAUCAAGAGGAAUACUCAUUGCGAAGGCGACCUGCUGGAACAUUACUGACGCUGAUGCACGAAAGCGUGGGGAGCAAACAGGAUUAGAUACCCCUGUAGUC
This 440-nucleotide ribosomal RNA is filed under the name uncultured bacterium. RNAcentral describes it as "partial 16S ribosomal RNA". It matches the Rfam family "Bacterial small subunit ribosomal RNA", at positions 338 to 795 of the family's 1533-position model. The record is from RNAcentral.